GAGAGUAGUUUCCAUUUCCAUGUCAGGAGAUCGCCUUUUGAGAUGGAGUCCACAGCUGAAGCAAUCAAGUUGUAGGCAGAAGAUCAGUAAUGAGGAGAUGGAGCAUCUUUACAUUCAAACCGUGUGAGUAGCAUGCUCUACCAGAAUAAACAAGCAGAUACUGUAAAAAUAUAGCAAUGAGGAACCAGGAAAGAACAAUAAAUAAAUUGUGAAUCUUAGACCUGUGAUGGCAUUGACUUUUAUUAAGACCAAAGAAGAGACUGCAAUGUCUGAAUAACCAAGCUGGUGACUCUUCAGCAACAAUAUGGGCUGCAUUAAAGAAAGAUGGUUAAAUAUGUGGAAAGGAGUACCAGUUUAUGGCCCAAGGGCAUCAAUCUUCAAGGUGGGAAAAUGAUUAUUCUGAUGUCAAUGCUAAUGUCUCUCAAAAUCUAUAAUUUAAGACCUAGCCCACAAGGUCAUUACAUUAUAAAGUAAGAACUUUUGAGGAAUCAGUCACGAUGGCUCUGCAUUUGUAAAAGAAAUGAGAAAAAUAGUGUCUUGCCCCCUCUGUCUUGUGAGGCUAUGGAAUUUAUCCGUUUCUCUAUGCUCUGAUUUUGGACUUACUUCCCAGCCUACAACUAUGAGGAAUACAUCCUAUUGUUUAUAACUUACAAGAUCUAAAGUAUUACCUUACAUCAGCCUGAAUGGAAUGGAGCUGAUUCAUCUGUAGUUAUUACUGCUACCUGCUACAGAUUAUUGCCUGCUAAAUGUGAAGUUUUCAACUCAAAG
Molecule: long non-coding RNA, 768 nt
Filed under: Cricetulus griseus (Chinese hamster)
Lineage: Eukaryota; Metazoa; Chordata; Mammalia; Rodentia; Cricetidae
Description: lncRNA (ENSCGRG00015033159.1)
Source: RNAcentral